This 468-nucleotide ribosomal RNA is filed under the name uncultured bacterium. RNAcentral describes it as "partial 16S ribosomal RNA". It matches the Rfam family "Bacterial small subunit ribosomal RNA", at positions 28 to 507 of the family's 1533-position model. The record is from RNAcentral.
GACGAACGCUGGCGGCGUGCUUAACACAUGCAAGUCGAACGGAAAGGCCCUGCUUUUGUGGGGUGCUCGAGUGGCGAACGGGUGAGUAACAUGUGAGUAUCCCGCCCUUGACUUUGGGAUAUCUUCAGGAAAGUGGGGCUAAUACAGGAUAGGAGCGCCUGCAGCAUGGGGGGGGUUGGACAGUUUGGGCGGUUGGGGGUGGACGCGGGGCUUAUCAGCUUGUUGGGGGGGUAGUGGCUUAGCACGGCAUUGGCGGGUAGCCGGCCUGGGAGGGUGACCGGCCACAUGGGGCCUGCGGUACGGCCCAGUCUCCUACGGGAGGCAGCAGUGGGGAAUAUUGCACAAUGGGCGGACGCCUGAUGCAGCAGCGCCGCGUGCGGAAUGCCGGCCUUCGGGGUGUAAACCGCUUUCGCCUGUGACGAAGCGGGAGUGACGGUAAUGGGUAAAGAAGCACCGGCUAACUUCGUG